AUUGAACGCUGGCGGCAUGCUUUACACAUGCAAGUCGAACGGCAGCGCGGGGCAACCUGGCGGCGAGUGGCGAACGGGUGAGUAAUACAUCGGAACGUACCCAGAAGUGGGGGAUAACGUAGCGAAAGUUACGCUAAUACCGCAUACGUUCUACGGAAGAAAGUGGGGGACCUUCGGGCCUCAUGCUUUUGGAGCGGCCGAUGUCUGAUUAGCUAGUUGGUGAGGUAAAGGCUCACCAAGGCGACGAUCAGUAGCUGGUCUGAGAGGACGACCAGCCACACUGGGACUGAGACACGGCCCAGACUCCUACGGGAGGCAGCAGUGGGGAAUUUUGGACAAUGGGCGCAAGCCUGAUCCAGCAAUGCCGCGUGAGUGAAGAAGGCCUUCGGGUUGUAAAGCUCUUUUGUCAGGGAAGAAACGGCUGAGGAUAAUACCUUCGGCUAAUGACGGUACCUGAAGAAUAAGCACCGGCUAACUACGU
RNAcentral lists this ribosomal RNA (481 nucleotides) under uncultured bacterium. RNAcentral describes it as "partial 16S ribosomal RNA". It matches the Rfam family "Bacterial small subunit ribosomal RNA", at positions 30 to 506 of the family's 1533-position model. The record is from RNAcentral.